Molecule: non-coding RNA, 25 nt
Filed under: Drosophila melanogaster (fruit fly)
Lineage: Eukaryota; Metazoa; Arthropoda; Insecta; Diptera; Drosophilidae
Source: RNAcentral
UACAAUAGUAAGAUGGGAAAAAACA